GAUGACAAGUGCCAUCCAAAUUAAUCCCUUCCUAUUCCCAGGGUGUAAGCAUAAAAGGACGUUUGAACAGACUGUAUCCAGAGUGAAUACAGAGAAACACGACUCUCCCUUGAAUGUUCUGCUCACUCAGAGGAGUUCACCUGAACACCUUAAUAUUCUGAAGAGUCAUGAGAAAGAUACCAUCUUUUUCCUGCAGAGCUGUGAAAAAGUGUUGACGUGUGUGAYGUACUGCGAGGAGCUCAGCUGA
Molecule: long non-coding RNA, 247 nt
Filed under: Dromaius novaehollandiae (emu)
Lineage: Eukaryota; Metazoa; Chordata; Aves; Casuariiformes; Dromaiidae
Description: lncRNA (ENSDNVG00000011662.1)
Source: RNAcentral